This 250-nucleotide long non-coding RNA is filed under the name Elaeis guineensis (African oil palm). RNAcentral describes it as "long non-coding RNA (EGUI_LNC074947)". The record is from RNAcentral. Lineage: Eukaryota; Viridiplantae; Streptophyta; Magnoliopsida; Arecales; Arecaceae.
AUUUAAAAAAUAACAGGUAAUACAAAAUAAAGUAUUUCAUAGAGCAUAUAACAAAACAAGUUAUAAACUCAUCAUGCAUGCAUAAAUCAUGUAUAUUUCACAAUCAUGAAUCGUAAAUUAUUUUCAUCAUGUAUUCAUGUCAUGUUUCAAAAUAUUGCUCAUAGAUAUUCAUGCUAAGGUCACUAUUAUACCCGUGACAGGGCCAUGUUUCUUAAUCGACAGAGUUCUUAAUUCAUGUGCCAACUUUAUA